This is a non-coding RNA of Camellia sinensis, 457 nucleotides long. The record is from RefSeq and is a predicted model, not a curated record. Lineage: Eukaryota; Viridiplantae; Streptophyta; Magnoliopsida; Ericales; Theaceae.
AUCUCAAACCGAUCUCUCUCUCUCUCGCACUAUCUUCCCUCUCCUCAAACUGAUCUCUCUCUCUCUCACUCUCGCUCUCACUCUCACUCUCGCACUGUCUUCCCUCUCUUCACCGAUCUCUAUACUCUUCGACCUCUUUACUCUCCGAUCUGUCUCUCUCUCUCUCGCUCUCCGUCUAUAUACACAUCAUAUAUAUAUAUACACUUUGAUUUUUUGUUUAUUUUUCUGUUUGUUGAUGUGGAGGUGAUCGCGAUUUUUCAAACUCAGGUCUCGCGAUGGCUUCAAACCGGAUCUUCAAAGAACUCAAGCAUCUCCAGAUCUUCAAACAACUCAAGUUAUCGCCUUCGUGGUGGAGUGAAAAGCCUGCCAAACUUGUCGGCCUAGGUAUUAAUGAACCUGUUUGCUUUAUCAACAUUUGAUGCAUCAGCCAAAAAAGUAAUUAAUUAGCUUGAAGUAA